RNAcentral lists this ribosomal RNA (584 nucleotides) under uncultured bacterium. RNAcentral describes it as "bacterial SSU rRNA". It matches the Rfam family "Bacterial small subunit ribosomal RNA", at positions 102 to 667 of the family's 1533-position model. The record is from RNAcentral.
ACGGGUGAGUAACGCGUGGAUGAUCUACCCUUGAGUUCGGGAUAACGGAACGAAAGAUCCGCUAAUACCGUAUAACAAUCCAUUUCAUCGUGGGUUCAAAGCAGGCCUCUUCGUGAAAGCUUGCGCUUGGGGAUGAGUCCGCGUCCCAUUAGCUUGUUGGCGGGGUAACGGCCCACCAAGGCAACGAUGGGUAGCUGGUCUGAGAGGAUGAUCAGCCACACUGGAACUGAAACACGGUCCAGACUCCUACGGGAGGCAGCAGUGGGGAAUAUUGCGCAAUGGGGGAAACCCUGACGCAGCGACGUCGUGUGAGGGAAGAAGGCCUUCGGGUCGUAAACCUCUGUCAGAAGGGAAGAACCGCCGGGAGUCGAAUAGCCUCUCGGCCUGACGGUACCUUCAAAGGAAGCGCCGGCUAACUCCGUGCCAGCAGCCGCGGUAAUACGGAGGGCGCAAGCGUUAAUCGGAAUUACUGGGCGUAAAGCGUGCGUAGGCUGUUUGAUAAGUCAGACGUGAAAUCCCUCGGCUCAACCGGGGAACUGCGUUUGAUACUGUUGGACUAGAGUCCUGGGAGAGGGUGGCGGAAU